RNA transcript from Triticum aestivum (bread wheat), 3483 nucleotides. RefSeq lists it as uncharacterized. The transcript has 5 exons. The record is from RefSeq and is a predicted model, not a curated record. Lineage: Eukaryota; Viridiplantae; Streptophyta; Magnoliopsida; Poales; Poaceae.
AGCGCCUUGCCCUUUCGUGCUCAUUCGUCCCCGUCUUCUCCUUCCCUCUGGAUCUCGUCGCCGACGCUCCUCCUCUCGAUUUGACUCCGGUUCUUCAGGUGCUUUCCCUCUACCCGCCGUCGCUGCUCUCCCAUCAGGCGCCGUCGGCAGUGUAGGACGCCGCUCGCCUCGGGCGAUUCGGCAGGAGGAGGAGGAGGGCCAGCGAAUCCAGGCUGGCACUCUGCUGCUUGCGUCAGCCGCUGACGACGACGCGAGGAGGGAGACCGUGGAUGGAGAUCGCGCGGGCGCGGUCCGCCGCCGCCGUGGGCUGCUCCAAGGAGCACCAGAGGAUCUGCGUCGACUGGUUCGCCCUCGCCGACCCAGGAUCUGGAGUUGCGGUGCUCGCCUCGCCUCAAGUGCGUGUGACGUCACCGGGAAGACCGUCAGCUGCAGCUCGCACAACGACUCUGCCUCGAGGCGUUGCCAUCUACUGGAGAAGCUUCAGACCGUCCUCCUAGCUUUUGUGCAUCUCUGGGAAGAAGACAACCCGAGCUGAGUCGCCUCCGAUCUGCGAAAACAUCUGAUGACAUGGACGUGAUGGGAUAUUUAAACAAGUCAAUUGCCAAGCUACAAAUGGGGCUGGCAGUGUGGCGCAACAAGCCUGAGCUUUUUGAGAGUGCAGAUAUGCAUGAGGCAGGAAAGGAAAAAGGCUUCAGUACAAUGAAGACCUGGAUGCCUCAAGGGAGGCCUGCGAGGAAUGUGCUCCAGACCGGCAAGGUGCUGCUCAACAGCGAGAAGCACCACCGGCGUCAGCAGUGUCAGCGUCACCGCCUCCUCGGCAUGCAAAAGACGUCACUCCCAAAUCGUCUCCGUAAUGCAUCCAGUAUACCGGAUGCUACUACAGCGAGAAGCACCAUCGGCGUCAGCAGUGUCAGCGUCACCGCCUCCUCGGCAUGCAGAAGACGUCACUCCCAAAUCGUCUCCGUAAUGCAUCCAGGUAUACCAGAUGCUACUACUGUUCUCCCUGCCCCUAUCUCUAUAAUUGAUUGUUCACUAGCAUGGCCCAUGGGAGCACCACGACUCAGGACAAUGUUUUAGUAGACGUAAAUGAUUGUCGGUUUAUUGAGUUAAGAUUUUUUUAUGGUGAGGUCAUGCCAUGUUGUUAGCGGGCACAAAUAUUUAGUGAGUUGUUGGUUCAGGAGAUCAACAUUUGGUUUAGUAUCUAUGAAGAGAUGAGUCUCGUGGCGGUGAGCGGAACGUAGACAAGGAUGGCGACUUGAUGCUUCUCGGAGACCUCCUCUGGAGGUGGAUUUUCUGGGCCUUUUGUUUGCCAUUUCACAGAGUUGGGCCGUGUUUGUCAGCGAUCGUGGCUUGGAUAUGGCCCGGUCGCCCCGUCGCACGCACCGGCGGGUAAAGAUCUCGUGCCACCGCACGUAAUAUCCUCCGCCCGCCGAGGGUACGUCGGUAAUUUCACGUCCAGGCCUCGUGCGUGUCGUGCGGUGGUUCGCCCCGUGCGGCUAUGGGGUGGGGAAGGGCAGCGCCUUGCCCUUUCGUGCUCAUUCAUCCCCUUCUUCUCCUUCCCUCUGGAUUCUUCUACUAGCCAACCAUGAGGAGCUCCUGGUGGUGCUCCUGGAUCUGGAUGUGCUAUACAUCACCUCCUUGCCUCUUGGAUGCUUCGGUGCAUGUGGCGUUCGUGCUCAUCGGUGGGACGGUGCAAGGUGCAACUCCGAUGCAGUGGCGUGUAUGUGCGGUGUAGGAAGCGGUUCCUCGCCGGCUGGACGGCGUCCAGGCGCAACCCCACGUCCACUGAGUAAUGCCCGGCUACAACCUCCCUCGGUGAGCCCCGUCUCCCUCCCGCUCUGCUUCGGCUACUAUAUGGGACAUGGACAGGGCUAUGAUGAUCAGUUAUGGCUUAUAUAGGCAUGCUCUCGAGCAAUUGAGGCACUUAUGGGUAUUAAUUUGGAUCCCCUCAUUUCUUUGAGCCAUUUUUUGAUCACGUUUUUAUUUUAGUGGCUCUGUCCUUGGAUGGUCAUUUCUGAUGAGUGAUAACCAGGGCAGUUUCACAUGACCCACCGGUUGGAAGCCAUUCUUGCUAGGGCGAUGAUGAUUAACCAUGGUUGAAAUAAAUGUGCCUUUGAGCAAUCGAGAAACCUGUGAGUAUCAAGUUGGAUCCUCCCUCUUGUCUCUAGAAUCCUUUUUGAUCUUGUGAUACUUAUUGUUCUCUCCUUGGAUGGUCAUUCUUGUUGAGUGAUAACCAGGACAGCUCCACUGUAUAAACAGAUUGAUCUGGUGAUAAGAGAUGACGGUGGUAGGUUAUGCAAUCGAGGAAAGGCAAAUCUGAGCCGACUAUGCAUUGAACCCUGAACCCUUUUUAUUUGUGUUUAAAGGUGUUGCUUAUUUAUUCUCCAGUGUUUAUAGCCAUCUUAUGUAAAGAUUUCUUCUCUUUGAUACCUUUAUUGCAUAUGAGUUGUUUUUCAUCUUUUAUUGUUUGUUGUUGGUCCUUGAUUUAAUCUGGUUAAGAGUAAGUUGCACUUUGUUAUUCUGGGAUGAACGAUGGUUUGGCAAUGCUAUUGGUUCUUCAUGAGUUCAGAGGAGGAUUUCUGAUAUUAUUUUAUUGUUAAAUAGACAUGACAGUAAGAUUCUUGUAUCUGUUCGCCGUGAGGAGCAAUGGAGCAUUGCACACUUAUGUGUACUGCUACCUGAUUAUCGUUGGUCUUUUGUAUAAAGGCCUUGCUAUAAUUUUGUAUGGUCCUUCCCUAAGGUGCUAUUUGGAUCAUCUGGUUUUUUAUACAGAGCCCGCUUCUCGAAGGUGCUAACCAGGCCAACAAAAAGGGCUCACCUGCUAAUAAGGUUUGAAAAUCCUCUUAGUGGUCAAUAGAGGUGUAUUCAGGCCCAAAACUUACAGAGCUGUGACAAGAAGUGUGGUCAACAUAGGUGUAUUUAACCAAACUAAUGUGAUCUUAUUUUAAAUUUUGCUCGAGAUUAAAUUUUCACAGAGAUCUAAUUAAGAUUUAUUAAAUCGCUGUUAUAUUAUAUGUUGGUUUGUUCCUUUAUACUCCAAAAGGAAAACAAUAUGAGUAAAAAAACUAUGUCAAUGAAUUGAGGUAUCAGUUUGCCUUCCUUUUAUUGCACUCAUUGGAUAAUUGUCUACUUUCAAAUUGUUGUGACCUUUGAUCCAUAUAACUAAGUGAGUGUUCUAUCUUUUCAGUUUCCCUAUCUGUUCUCAGGAUAGAAAUGUUCCUCGGCACCAUGAAAAACGUCAACGGAGGAACAACCUUUUAUUUUAUUUUAUGUUGCCUCUACUAUAUUGUUGUUGCCACAAGGAUUUACCUGGACACGGAGCCACCAUGAUGUGUUUAAAAAUGAUUACAUUAUCCUGUUCUAACCUGAUGGUGUUAGAAACAUCUUGGCAUUCAAGCAGGAUUAGUUCAUUGUUUAUUAAUUACAAUUAUGUAAAAAAAUCACUGAUCAUAGCUUGACAGAAAAUAUUUUGAUAUGCCACCA